CGCUAUCACUCCUACGGGGAGGCAGCAGUAGGGAAUCUUCCACAAUGGGCGCAAGCCUGAUGGAGCAACACCGCGUGAGUGAAGAAGGGUUUCGGCUCGUAAAGCUCUGUUGUUAAAGAAGAACACGUAUGAGAGUAACUGUUCAUACGUUGACGGUAUUUAACCAGAAAGUCACGGCUAACUACGUGCCAGCAGCCGCGGUAAUACGUAGGUGGCAAGCGUUAUCCGGAUUUAUUGGGCGUAAAGAGAGUGCAGGCGGUUUUCUAAGUCUGAUGUGAAAGCCUUCGGCUUAACCGGAGAAGUGCAUCGGAAACUGGAUAACUUGAGUGCAGAAGAGGGUAGUGGAACUCCAUGUGUAGCGGUGGAAUGCGUAGAUAUAUGGAAGAACACCAGUGGCGAAGGCGGCUACCUGGUCUGCAACUGACACUGAGACUCGAAAGCAUGGGUAGCGAACAGGAUUAGAUACCCUGGUAG
This 474-nucleotide ribosomal RNA is filed under the name uncultured bacterium. RNAcentral describes it as "bacterial SSU rRNA". It matches the Rfam family "Bacterial small subunit ribosomal RNA", at positions 328 to 793 of the family's 1533-position model. The record is from RNAcentral.